AGGCGCUUGUCCACACCGGUUCCUCCGCGCCACCCACGCCUAGCCGACGACCGCCCGGUACGUCUUGCUGGCU
RNAcentral lists this small RNA (73 nucleotides) under Xanthomonas arboricola pv. populi. Its description in RNAcentral is "sX9 sRNA". It matches the Rfam family "Xanthomonas sRNA sX9". Lineage: Bacteria; Pseudomonadati; Pseudomonadota; Gammaproteobacteria; Lysobacterales; Lysobacteraceae. The record is from RNAcentral.